Molecule: ribosomal RNA, 305 nt
Filed under: uncultured bacterium
Lineage: Bacteria
Description: bacterial SSU rRNA
Rfam family: Bacterial small subunit ribosomal RNA
Source: RNAcentral
CCUACGGGAGGCAGCAGUGAGGAAUAUUGGUCAAUGGACGGAAGUCUGAACCAGCCAUGCCGCGUGCAGGAUGACGGCUCUAUGAGUUGUAAACUGCUUUUGUAUUAGGGUAAACACCCCUACGUGUAGGGGCUUGAAAGUAUAAUACGAAUAAGGAUCGGCUAACUCCGUGCCAGCAGCCGCGGUAAUACGGAGGAUCCAAGCGUUAUCCGGAUUUAUUGGGUUUAAAGGGUGCGUAGGCGGUUUGAUAAGUUAGAGGUGAAAUACCGGUGCUCAACACCGGAACUGCCUCUAAUACUGUUGAA